This 465-nucleotide ribosomal RNA is filed under the name Vreelandella stevensii. RNAcentral's name for it is "partial 16S ribosomal RNA". It matches the Rfam family "Bacterial small subunit ribosomal RNA", at positions 338 to 795 of the family's 1533-position model. The record is from RNAcentral. Lineage: Bacteria; Pseudomonadati; Pseudomonadota; Gammaproteobacteria; Oceanospirillales; Halomonadaceae.
CCUACGGGUGGCUGCAGUGGGGAAUAUUGGACAAUGGGCGAAAGCCUGAUCCAGCCAUGCCGCGUGUGUGAAGAAGGCCUUCGGGUUGUAAAGCACUUUCAGUGGGGAAGAAAGCCUUGGGGCUAAUACCCUCGAGGAAGGACAUCACCCACAGAAGAAGCACCGGCUAACUCCGUGCCAGCAGCCGCGGUAAUACGGAGGGUGCGAGCGUUAAUCGGAAUUACUGGGCGUAAAGCGCGCGUAGGCGGUCUGAUAAGCCGGUUGUGAAAGCCCCGGGCUCAACCUGGGAACGGCAUCCGGAACGGUCAGGCUAGAGGGCAGGAGAGGAAGGUAGAAUUCCCGGUGUAGCGGUGAAAUGCGUAGAGAGCGGGAGGAAUACCAGUGGCGAAGGCGGCCUUCUGGACUGACACUGACGCUGAGGUGCGAAAGCGUGGGUAGCAAACAGGAUUAGAUACCCCUGUAGUC